This 31-nucleotide transfer RNA is filed under the name Trachylepis gonwouoi (Gonwouo's skink). Its description in RNAcentral is "partial tRNA-Tyr". Lineage: Eukaryota; Metazoa; Chordata; Lepidosauria; Squamata; Scincidae. The record is from RNAcentral.
GGCGGGUAUAAGCCCCGUUCUUAUCAUACGA